This 474-nucleotide ribosomal RNA is filed under the name uncultured bacterium. RNAcentral describes it as "bacterial SSU rRNA". It matches the Rfam family "Bacterial small subunit ribosomal RNA", at positions 335 to 799 of the family's 1533-position model. The record is from RNAcentral.
ACUCCUACGGGAGGCAGCAGUGGGGAAUAUUGCACAAUGGGCGCAAGCCUGAUGCAGCCAUGCCGCGUGUGUGAAGAAGGCCUUCGGGUUGUAAAGCACUUUCAGUCGUGAGGAAGGUAGUGUAGUUAAUAGCUGCAUUAUUUGACGUUAGCGACAGAAGAAGCACCGGCUAACUCCGUGCCAGCAGCCGCGGUAAUACGGAGGGGUGCGAGCGUUAAUCGGAAUUACUGGGCGUAAAGCGCAUGCAGGUGGUUUGUUAAGUCAGAUGUGAAAGCCCGGGGCUCAACCUCGGAAUAGCAUUUGAAACUGGCAGACUAGAGUACUGUAGAGGGGGUAGAAUUUCAGGUGUAGCGGUGAAAUGCGUAGAGAUCUGAAGGAAUACCGGUGGCGAAGGCGGCCCCCUGGACAGAUACUGACACUCAGAUGCGAAAGCGUGGGGAGCAAACGAGGAUUAGAUACCCUGGUAGGAUAGCG